Molecule: ribosomal RNA, 373 nt
Filed under: uncultured bacterium
Lineage: Bacteria
Description: bacterial SSU rRNA
Rfam family: Bacterial small subunit ribosomal RNA
Source: RNAcentral
AUUGAACGCUGGCGGCAUGCCUUACACAUGCAAGUCGAACGGCAGCACGGGAGCAAUCCUGGUGGCGAGUGGCGAACGGGUGAGUAAUAUAUCGGAACGUGCCCGGUCGUGGGGGAUAACGUAGCGAAAGCUACGCUAAUACCGCAUACGAUCUACGGAUGAAAGCGGGGGGAUCGCAAGACCUCGCGCGAUUGGAGCGGCCGAUAUCAGAUUAGGUAGUUGGUGAGGUAAAGGCUCACCAAGCCGACGAUCUGUAGCUGGUCUGAGAGGACGGCCAGCCACACUGGGACUGAGACACGGCCCAGACUCCUACGGGAGGCAGCAGUGGGGAAUUUUGGACAAUGGGCGCAAGCCUGAUCCAGCAAUGCCGCGU